This 1765-nucleotide long non-coding RNA is filed under the name Mytilus galloprovincialis (Mediterranean mussel). The record is from RNAcentral. Lineage: Eukaryota; Metazoa; Mollusca; Bivalvia; Mytilida; Mytilidae.
GAAGAAAUAACAUAAAAAAUUUGGUGCACACUGAAUAACGCGCGUAGCGGGUUAUUUAACAGUGUGCACCACAUUUUUUUAUGUUAUUUCGACUAGACUGAAAAAAUAUUACAGUCAUUUCUUAUAAUUUAAUUCUAAAUUCCAUUUUAAACCGUAGAAAUCCAUGAAAAAACGUUGAUGACGUCACGGUCACAUGUCUAAAUUAUGUCUAUGGGCUCUUAACAAAAUAACGUCAGCCUAUCAGAAGACGCGUUACAUCCAACUUUAAAUUAUUAGAAAAUGCUUUACAGUCUUUAAUUUAGAUUAUUUAAAUAUCUUGUUUGAUUAAAAAAAAACAGCUCUGACAUUUUCUUUUUUUCUCACAGGAGAAAUCGCAAUUUUAAAUUUACGGUAUAAUAGUAGUCGUAGUAGCCAAAGAUAUUCAUUAGAGAUGUUGUCUAGAUCUGAUCGAUGGGGAUAUAUCUGACAUUUCAGAUUGAUGGUUAGAAGUACAUCAGUGUGUCUAGAAAAGUUAUUUGAUACAUAAUUUAAUGUUAAAGAGUUUAAAAUUUACUAUCGGCCAUGUGUAUAGAGAUAACUGGGUCAUCUUCAGUACACAUCUGCGAGCAAAGGAAAAAAAAUAAAUAAAAAAAAAUGUUGAAAUUUGAAAAAAAUAACCUAUCUGUAAGCGAAGUAUCUUAGAAAGGCACAUUUUGAUUCGCAGUAUCAAACGCACCUAAAAAUAUUUCGCGUUCAGGUUCAUCAUUUAAUGGAAAAACCAUCACCGAGUUUUGCACGUUCAUUUUAAUACCUUAAAUUUCUUUUUAAAUUAGACACGAUUAAAUAUUUCAAGCAGAAUUUCAAUUUCAGAGGUUAUCAAAUAAAAAUCAAAGUUCAUUUCUUGUUGACAAGUUGAUUGACAUAUUGAUGGACAUAUUUCACACGUGCAGGUGUAAAAAAAAAUACUGUGAAAUAAAAAACGCAAUCUUACCACUCGUAAAAGAAAUAGUGGCAAUAAAAGACAACCAUUAUGGUGUUAAACUUAUAACUACGUGAAGUUAAAUGCACUUGGUCUUGAUAAAGUCUCCAAUGCGCAAUUUAAUCAGAUUUUGUAUUUUAGCACGCGGAAAUUACAUGCUAACAUCGGUGGUUUUUGGCGUACCCUAAAAUAGCAAACAAUUUGUCAAAUUUGUCCUUUCCGGUUCAAACAUGUGUACAUGUACAACACAACAAUUGUUGUGAAUUAUUAAAGCAAUGGUAAUAGGAAAAGACAGCUUAAACAGCCAUUCAAUCAUCGUUGUGUGAGAACGGUGUGUUUGAUUAGUACUACAUAGUACAAUUUAGACAUCUGUGGUUUGCUUAAUUGAUAAUGAUAAAUCACCUACACAUUAAUUUUACGCUAAGGAUCGUCCCGUGGUUAGGUGUGAUAAUGAAGGCAUGCUUCUAUUUCACCUUGUAAACAACUGUAGGUUAUUUAAUACUUCAGCUGAAGAUUAUGAACUUCAGCCGUAGAAAAACCAAGGAAGCUAAACCAAUAAGGGGAUUGCCUUUGUACUUGAUGUACAGGGGUUUAAAAACACAAUUGAAGCGAUUUGACCGUUGAUAUAUCUAGAUGUAGGAGUCGCCAUUCGUUUACCGGAUAUGUUAUAACGCAUGUCCAUGAAUGUUGUCAGUUCUUGAAGUCGACCUUAAUAAAACAUUUGUUGUAUUGCUUUAUAUGCGUAAAUGGCAAAUAGCAGACCCACUCGAAGCUUGUUCGUGAUCAGCUUGUGGUCAUGCAGUGGGC